RNAcentral lists this ribosomal RNA (473 nucleotides) under Bacillaria sp. RNAcentral's name for it is "partial large subunit ribosomal RNA". It matches the Rfam family "Eukaryotic large subunit ribosomal RNA", at positions 50 to 545 of the family's 3401-position model. Lineage: Eukaryota; Bacillariophyta; Bacillariophyceae; Bacillariales; Bacillariaceae. The record is from RNAcentral.
ACGGAGGAAAAGAACUACAAGGAUUCCCCUAGUAAGGGCGCUGAACGGGAAGUGCUCAGGAUGUGAAUCUGCGCUAUGCGCCGAAUUGUGGUCUGUAGACAGCGACGUUAUUUGCCGGGCCAAGUCCCUUGGAAAAGGGCAGCUGAGAGGGUGAGACUCCCGUCCGCCUGGCAGUAUGAGUUGCUAGUCAAGGAGUCGAGUUGUUUGGGAUUGCAGCUCAAAGCGGGUGGUAAAUUCCAUCUAAGGCUAAAUAUUGGUGGGAGACCGAUAGCGUACAAGUACCGUGAGGGAAAGAUGCAAAGAACUUUGAAAAGAGAGUUAAAGAGUACCUGAAAUUGCUGAAAGGGAAGCGAAGGAAACCAGUGCCAUGCCUGGUCAUAUUUCCCUGGCCGCUUGCGGCUUGGGCGCUGUGUCCGGCUUGCGUUGUGUUUGGUUGUAACUUGCGGAAGAGCGUUGGGGGAGUUGACCCUGAU